CAGAACUCAGAGCAGCACAGAGCAAUGUUCAAAUGGCGAUAUUGAACAGAAAAUACAAAUAUAAACUGUAUGAAAGUAAAUAAACUGAGACUCAAACUGGAUGUGUGUUGUCAAAAUGAAUAGGCUUUUAAUAAGUUAUGAAACAAUUAUGGGUGAAGUUUCUGUCUUCUCAACUGUAGAUGAGGUAGAUUCAACAGUCUGUUGAAAAUGUCAGACCUGUAAAAAAGUGACAACAGGAAAUUUGCAACAGUAAAAACAGGGUUCAGAGCAGGUUAUGGAGGUGAUGUUAGGGGAGCGUGGGUCAAUUUGUGAUGUUUGGGGAGCGUGGGUCAAUUCGUGAUGUUUGGGGAGCGUUGGUCAGGCGUGGUGUUAGGAGAGCGUGGGUCAAUGUGUGUGUGUUAGGGGAGCGUUGGUCAGGCGUGGUGUUAUAGGAGCGUUGGUCAGGCGUGGUGUUAGGGGAGCGUUGGUCAAUCGGGUGAGGUGCUAGGGAAGAGUGGGUCAGUGCGUUGUAGAAGAUGCUGUAGAGCUCCUAAAAAGAAACAGAAACAGAGAACAGACAAUCAGAUACUUUUUUAAUAGUUCAUAAAAGAGUUCAAGAAAUUAGAUAUAAAUUAACCUCUUCCCAUUUUAUGCUCAUAUAUACUACGAUAUAAAUGGUGGAUGUCUUAAGUUUUACAUAUAGCACAAUGACCAUUCAGAGCUUAAACUGAAGUAGACACUUUUAACUAAUCAGUUAACUUCCAGACUUUAAUUUCCAUUAUUUAGGUCCCAUUUGAGAACAUCAAAUGAAAAAGAAAAUGUAAAAAUGUUAUAUUUGGAGUUUACAAUGUGUGUAUAGAUGUUGGUCAUGAAAAAUCAGUCAUUCUCUACACUUCCUGAUUCAUCAGGGUCUUGACUAACAAAUU
Molecule: long non-coding RNA, 905 nt
Filed under: Astyanax mexicanus (Mexican tetra)
Lineage: Eukaryota; Metazoa; Chordata; Actinopteri; Characiformes; Acestrorhamphidae
Description: lncRNA (ENSAMXG00005010452.1)
Source: RNAcentral